AUCGCGCUCGGCAAGACGUUGUAUUCGGAUAAAAUAUUGUAUGUACUAGUUUAUUUCAGAAGAGAGAUAUUUCGACCUAUUCAUCGGCUUAUGUUUCAUUGAAUUGGAUUAACUAAAUCUAAUAGCAAGCUGUAAGCUGUAAAUUUAUUGAAAAUCGUUAAUUAAAUUGCUUACAAAACACACACAAACCAGAAAAGGGAAUAGAAAGAAAAAUAUGUAUGUAUGUAUAUGAAAUGAGCAAAAGUUCUUUAUAACGAAAAUAAAAAUUAAAGAGAGCAAAAUGGGAAAAAAAGAAACCAAAACAAAAAAUGAAAGAAAUGAAUUGAACAAAAGAAAAAAUUAAAAAUUAAGCAACAGGAAAGAAAAAUAUCUUUAUAAAAAACAACAGCUACAAAUAUCGAAGGAUUUUUGUUUAAUUUUCAUUAGAUUGCAGAAAUUAAUUUUUGUAUUGAAAUUCAUUCACCAAUUGUUUAAAAAAAAGAAGAAAGGAACAAAUUAAGCCAUGGGAAACUGGAAAAAAACUAUAAGUGAAACGAUAACCUUUCAAGCUGAAUUAAAUCAACUCAAGAGAAAAUCCAAUGAAUCGAAUAACCAAAAAAAAAACAAAAGGAGGAAAAAAUGGAGAAACAAAAAAG
Condylostylus longicornis is the source of this 635-nucleotide long non-coding RNA. RefSeq lists it as uncharacterized. The transcript has 4 exons. The record is from RefSeq and is a predicted model, not a curated record. Lineage: Eukaryota; Metazoa; Arthropoda; Insecta; Diptera; Dolichopodidae.